This 2926-nucleotide ribosomal RNA is filed under the name Escherichia coli. RNAcentral describes it as "23S ribosomal RNA". It matches the Rfam family "Bacterial large subunit ribosomal RNA". The record is from RNAcentral. Lineage: Bacteria; Pseudomonadati; Pseudomonadota; Gammaproteobacteria; Enterobacterales; Enterobacteriaceae.
GGGUUGUGAGGUUAAGCGACUAAGCGUACACGGUGGAUGCCCUGGCAGUCAGAGGCGAUGAAGGACGUGCUAAUCUGCGAUAAGCGUCGGUAAGGUGAUAUGAACCGUUAUAACCGGCGAUUUCCGAAUGGGGAAACCCAGUGUGUUUCGACACACUAUCAUUAACUGAAUCCAUAGGUUAAUGAGGCGAACCGGGGGAACUGAAACAUCUAAGUACCCCGAGGAAAAGAAAUCAACCGAGAUUCCCCCAGUAGCGGCGAGCGAACGGGGAGCAGCCCAGAGCCUGAAUCAGUAUGUGUGUUAGUGGAAGCGUCUGGAAAGGCGCGCGAUACAGGGUGACAGCCCCGUACACAAAAAUGCACAUGCUGUGAGCUCGAUGAGUAGGGCGGGACACGUGGUAUCCUGUCUGAAUAUGGGGGGACCAUCCUCCAAGGCUAAAUACUCCUGACUGACCGAUAGUGAACCAGUACCGUGAGGGAAAGGCGAAAAGAACCCCGGCGAGGGGAGUGAAAAAGAACCUGAAACCGUGUACGUACAAGCAGUGGGAGCACGCUUAGGCGUGUGACUGCGUACCUUUUGUAUAAUGGGUCAGCGACUUAUAUUCUGUAGCAAGGUUAACCGAAUAGGGGAGCCGAAGGGAAACCGAGUCUUAACUGGGCGUUAAGUUGCAGGGUAUAGACCCGAAACCCGGUGAUCUAGCCAUGGGCAGGUUGAAGGUUGGGUAACACUAACUGGAGGACCGAACCGACUAAUGUUGAAAAAUUAGCGGAUGACUUGUGGCUGGGGGUGAAAGGCCAAUCAAACCGGGAGAUAGCUGGUUCUCCCCGAAAGCUAUUUAGGUAGCGCCUCGUGAAUUCAUCUCCGGGGGUAGAGCACUGUUUCGGCAAGGGGGUCAUCCCGACUUACCAACCCGAUGCAAACUGCGAAUACCGGAGAAUGUUAUCACGGGAGACACACGGCGGGUGCUAACGUCCGUCGUGAAGAGGGAAACAACCCAGACCGCCAGCUAAGGUCCCAAAGUCAUGGUUAAGUGGGAAACGAUGUGGGAAGGCCCAGACAGCCAGGAUGUUGGCUUAGAAGCAGCCAUCAUUUAAAGAAAGCGUAAUAGCUCACUGGUCGAGUCGGCCUGCGCGGAAGAUGUAACGGGGCUAAACCAUGCACCGAAGCUGCGGCAGCGACACUAUGUGUUGUUGGGUAGGGGAGCGUUCUGUAAGCCUGUGAAGGUGUGCUGUGAGGCAUGCUGGAGGUAUCAGAAGUGCGAAUGCUGACAUAAGUAACGAUAAAGCGGGUGAAAAGCCCGCUCGCCGGAAGACCAAGGGUUCCUGUCCAACGUUAAUCGGGGCAGGGUGAGUCGACCCCUAAGGCGAGGCCGAAAGGCGUAGUCGAUGGGAAACAGGUUAAUAUUCCUGUACUUGGUGUUACUGCGAAGGGGGGACGGAGAAGGCUAUGUUGGCCGGGCGACGGUUGUCCCGGUUUAAGCGUGUAGGCUGGUUUUCCAGGCAAAUCCGGAAAAUCAAGGCUGAGGCGUGAUGACGAGGCACUACGGUGCUGAAGCAACAAAUGCCCUGCUUCCAGGAAAAGCCUCUAAGCAUCAGGUAACAUCAAAUCGUACCCCAAACCGACACAGGUGGUCAGGUAGAGAAUACCAAGGCGCUUGAGAGAACUCGGGUGAAGGAACUAGGCAAAAUGGUGCCGUAACUUCGGGAGAAGGCACGCUGAUAUGUAGGUGAAGUCCCUCGCGGAUGGAGCUGAAAUCAGUCGAAGAUACCAGCUGGCUGCAACUGUUUAUUAAAAACACAGCACUGUGCAAACACGAAAGUGGACGUAUACGGUGUGACGCCUGCCCGGUGCCGGAAGGUUAAUUGAUGGGGUUAGCCGCAAGGCGAAGCUCUUGAUCGAAGCCCCGGUAAACGGCGGCCGUAACUAUAACGGUCCUAAGGUAGCGAAAUUCCUUGUCGGGUAAGUUCCGACCUGCACGAAUGGCGUAAUGAUGGCCAGGCUGUCUCCACCCGAGACUCAGUGAAAUUGAACUCGCUGUGAAGAUGCAGUGUACCCGCGGCAAGACGGAAAGACCCCGUGAACCUUUACUAUAGCUUGACACUGAACAUUGAGCCUUGAUGUGUAGGAUAGGUGGGAGGCUUAGAAGUGUGGACGCCAGUCUGCAUGGAGCCGACCUUGAAAUACCACCCUUUAAUGUUUGAUGUUCUAACGUUGACCCGUAAUCCGGGUUGCGGACAGUGUCUGGUGGGUAGUUUGACUGGGGCGGUCUCCUCCUAAAGAGUAACGGAGGAGCACGAAGGUUGGCUAAUCCUGGUCGGACAUCAGGAGGUUAGUGCAAUGGCAUAAGCCAGCUUGACUGCGAGCGUGACGGCGCGAGCAGGUGCGAAAGCAGGUCAUAGUGAUCCGGUGGUUCUGAAUGGAAGGGCCAUCGCUCAACGGAUAAAAGGUACUCCGGGGAUAACAGGCUGAUACCGCCCAAGAGUUCAUAUCGACGGCGGUGUUUGGCACCUCGAUGUCGGCUCAUCACAUCCUGGGGCUGAAGUAGGUCCCAAGGGUAUGGCUGUUCGCCAUUUAAAGUGGUACGCGAGCUGGGUUUAGAACGUCGUGAGACAGUUCGGUCCCUAUCUGCCGUGGGCGCUGGAGAACUGAGGGGGGCUGCUCCUAGUACGAGAGGACCGGAGUGGACGCAUCACUGGUGUUCGGGUUGUCAUGCCAAUGGCACUGCCCGGUAGCUAAAUGCGGAAGAGAUAAGUGCUGAAAGCAUCUAAGCACGAAACUUGCCCCGAGAUGAGUUCUCCCUGACCCUUUAAGGGUCCUGAAGGAACGUUGAAGACGACGACGUUGAUAGGCCGGGUGUGUAAGCGCAGCGAUGCGUUGAGCUAACCGGUACUAAUGAACCGUGAGGCUUAACCUUACAACGCCGAAG